UGGCCUGUUGAGUAUGAUUUUAGGUYUGGCCUGCCCACUGAGUUUUUGAAUGGCCGCGGUAUAUUGACCGUGCAAAGGUAGCAUAGUAAUUAGUUUUUUAAUUAAAAGCUUGAAUGAAAGGUUAGAUGAAAAAAUGACUGUCUCUAGGAGAAUUUAAUUGAAUUUUAUUUUUAAGUAAAAAAGCUUAAAUUUUUGUUAAAGACGAGAAGACCCUAUAGAGUUUAAUAAAUUUAAAAUGUUCAAAGUGUGAGGUAAAAGUUAAAGUUGGGAUUUAAAGUUUAUUUUAUUGGGGUGAUAGGAAAAUUAGAAGAACUUUUCCUUAUUUUAAAUAUAAAUAAAUAUAUGAGUGAUCCUUGCAAUGAGAUUAAAAGAAUAAAUUACCUUAGGGAUAACAGCGUGAUUUUUUUUAGAGUUCUAAUCGAAGAAAGAGUUUACGACCUCGAUGUUGGAUUAAAAUUUAUUGUUGGUGUAGUGGCUAAUAAAAUUARGUCUGUUCGACCUUUAAAAUUUUACAUGAUCUGAGUUUA
This 527-nucleotide ribosomal RNA is filed under the name Trigonopterus sp. 391 AR-2020. Its description in RNAcentral is "partial large subunit ribosomal RNA". The record is from RNAcentral. Lineage: Eukaryota; Metazoa; Arthropoda; Insecta; Coleoptera; Curculionidae.